ACCGCUCCGCUGUCCCCAACCUUGGGCCAUGGCGAAGAGGCGGAGCGAACCGGCGAGUCGCCGCCUUCCACCGUGCACGGUGCACCCCUCCCCCGUCAGCAGGAACAAAAGUUAUCUUCCGGUUCUGACCGCUCGGCAUGGAUUCUCGGGGAUUUUUUUUCCUUCGUUUUUUGCAGAGUUUCUUUUAAUCCCCACGGCUAGGUCUCGCGACCCAUUCUGGAUCGUCUUGGUGUAGGUGAAAGCGGUAUUUCAGUUGGUGCUUGAUGCUGGGGAGUUUAUCCUCUGGGAACUUGGCGGGAACGCUGUAAAUUGCAAGUACUCUACAUUUUACUUAGAGGUGACAGAUAAUUUGGUUUUAGGUUGUGGCAGGAACAUCCAUAUUUGGUCUGCUGGCCAAUUUUAAAGUGUGUCUGCUCUUGCUGCCAUAAGACUUUUGCCCUCCAAAACUGCUUGAUGAAAGCCUGAUCCACUUCUGCAUACCGUUAUUUGUUAAGAGUAUGUUGGCUUUGCUUCUAGGCUUCGUUUACUGGGGGUUCCAUUUUCACCUUGCUCUUGGCUCCAGCUUUUCAGACAAGUUGCAGGUGGUGAAAACAACCCGACUUCUGACUCCAGAGGGAUUGAAUUAGGAUCGAUAUUUAACACAUUCUCUAAUGCUGUCGCGCUCUUGUUGGUGCUUCAACUACUCCAAGAGUUAGCACUGGAUCAGUUAGUCAAUGAAUAAGGUAGUAUCAUAUGAAGAGCUCUGCAUCUGGAUAAUGGAUCCAUUUGUCCAUGAGGUCAGGGAAUGCUAGUGGCAAUUAUAUAAAACCGAGGUUAGAGUUUACGUCUCGAGAACGCUUGGAGUGCCGGUGGUUACUUGGAGCCAAAACUAAUGACUCUAGCUUCCCCAUGCCGUAGAAUGAAUAUAGAGCCAGAGAUUCAACAAAGCCGGGCACCGGUCAAGGCUGUUUACUGAGACGCGGCAUAUACGAUUUUUCUCUCUGGAUAUUCAAAGGAUAUCCCUUUGUUUAGUCAUAGUAGUGUGGUUACUGUACGGUCCCUGGGUUCAACUGACUGGUUGCAAAUCCAAACAAUAGGAAAGGGCUGGAUCAAGCAGUUUAUUGUUAAUAAUAUAAUACCCAGUAAUUUGCGGUGUCUGUUUUCUCCUUACUGAUACUUGAUCCCAUACUUUGGUGUUCUUCAGUCCUCUGAGUGAGUCAAAGAAUACCUGGAAUCGUUAACCUUGCCCUGAUUGCAGGAUCAAAGGAAGUUAUCGACUGGUUCUGGAGUUAUAGUUCUGCAAAAAUGUCCCUAGCAAGCAUCAAAUGGUAUUGGCUGGAGAAAAAACAUCAGUUGACAGUGAAAAUGGGUGCGAUUUGGCAGCCUUGGAAGGUUGGCCUAAGGAGGAGUUAGCUGCGACUGUGGAGGGAAGCUGGCGUGUGUGACAUCAUGCCAUCAUGGUCGACUUGGAGCUGGAGGCGGGGCCAAUGGCGUGGCGUCAUGGCAAUAAUGCAUUACAUUGAGCUACAGGCUGCAUCGCCGUCAUCUCUAUGCCUGCAGCGACGAUCGACGAGACGGAUACAACCGGCGACAAGAAGACGGAAAGCCUAGAUUGCCCAAGUUUUGCUCGGUUACCCAGGCGAGAUGUUCGCAGCGGCAAAGGACAGCUCCGUAGCUGCAGGUGAGACCAGGAAAGACUGCAGAAGCAGAGCGAGGCGCUGGACGAAAUCACUGACAUGUCAAGGAAUGUUAACCCCUUGCACCAUCAUCACGUCGGCCUCAUCUCCAAUCCCGGACGCUCUUAUCUAUUCCUAAAUCCAGAUGAAGCAGAGAGCUUCACUGAAUAGAAAGUUAUGGUCUUCUUUUGAUUAUUACACUGAGAUGUGUGUUUAAA
Molecule: long non-coding RNA, 1873 nt
Organism: Hordeum vulgare subsp. vulgare (domesticated barley)
Lineage: Eukaryota; Viridiplantae; Streptophyta; Magnoliopsida; Poales; Poaceae
Exons: 3
Source: RefSeq, a predicted model, not a curated record